Molecule: microRNA precursor, 70 nt
Filed under: Astyanax mexicanus (Mexican tetra)
Lineage: Eukaryota; Metazoa; Chordata; Actinopteri; Characiformes; Acestrorhamphidae
Description: miR-430 microRNA precursor family
Rfam family: miR-430 microRNA precursor family
Source: Rfam by way of RNAcentral
AUUUCUACUUUAACAAUAGUUCUGACCUUUGAGUAAAAUUUGGUAAGUUCUAUUUGUUGGGGUAGUUUUA